Molecule: ribosomal RNA, 465 nt
Filed under: uncultured bacterium
Lineage: Bacteria
Description: partial 16S ribosomal RNA
Rfam family: Bacterial small subunit ribosomal RNA
Source: RNAcentral
GACGAACGCUGGCGGCGUGCUUAACACAUGCAAGUCGUACGGUAAGGCCCUUUCGGGGGUACACGAGUGGCGAACGGGUGAGUAACACGUGAGUAACCUGCCCACAACUUUGGGAUAACGCUAGGAAACUGGUGCUAAUACUGGAUAUGUGCUCCUGCUGCAUGGUGGGGGUUGGAAAGCUCCGGCGGUUGUGGAUGGACUCGCGGCCUAUCAGCUUGUUGGUGGGGUAGUGGCCUACCAAGGCGGCGACGGGUAGCCGGCCUGGGGGGGUGACCGGCCACAUUGGGACUGAGAUACGGCCCAGACUCCUACGGGAGGCAGCAGUGGGGAAUAUUGCACAAUGGGCGCAAGCCUGAUGCAGCAACGCCGCGUGCGGGAUAACGGCCUUCGGGUUGUAAACCGCUUUCAGCAGGGACGAAGCUUUUUGUGACGGUACCUGCAGAAGAAGCACCGGCUAACUACGUG